CGAACGCUGGCGGCGUGCUUAACACAUGCAAGUCGAACGGAAAGGCCCCUUUGGGGGUCCUCGAGUGGCGAACGGGUGAGUAACACGUGAGUAACCUGCCCUUGACUUCGGGAUAACUUCAGGAAACUGGGGCUAAUACCGGAUAGGAAUCCUUGCUGCAUGGUGGGGGUUGGAAAGCUUCGGCGGUUUUGGAUGGACUCGCGGCUUAUCAGCUUGUUGGUGGGGUAGUGGCUUACCAAGGCUUUGACGGGUAGCCGGCCUGAGAGGGCGACCGGCCACAUUGGGACUGAGAUACGGCCCAGACUCCUACGGGAGGCAGCAGUGGGGAAUAUUGCACAAUGGGCGGAAGCCUGAUGCAGCAACGCCGCGUGCGGGAUGACGGCCUUCGGGUUGUAAACCGCUUUCAGCAGGGGCGAAGCUUGUGGUGACGGUACCUGCAGAAGAAGCACCGGCUAACUACGUG
This 463-nucleotide ribosomal RNA is filed under the name uncultured bacterium. Its description in RNAcentral is "partial 16S ribosomal RNA". It matches the Rfam family "Bacterial small subunit ribosomal RNA", at positions 30 to 507 of the family's 1533-position model. The record is from RNAcentral.